AUGCUCGAGAAGGUUUGGAGAAAAUUCACCAAAAAAGCUGCGGGACUGCCGAAGAAGCUGCAAUUUAGACACCCGAAAUGGUUGUGGCAGGAACAACGGAAUGAUUUCUGUGGAUACUACGUUUGCGAGUCCAUCCGCCACACGACCUGUGAACGGGGCUACUCUGAUGAACAAUAUGAAAUGUUUCGGAUGCGGGAUGAACUCCUAGCACCAGAUCUUAUGCGAGCAAUUCAAGAGGAAUUGGCGGCAUUCUUCCUUGACCAUGUGAUCGCUGAAGACGUAGAAUACUAUGUGGACCCUAUGUUCGUAUAUAAUUAG
Molecule: ribosomal RNA, 318 nt
Filed under: Triticum aestivum (bread wheat)
Lineage: Eukaryota; Viridiplantae; Streptophyta; Magnoliopsida; Poales; Poaceae
Description: partial small subunit ribosomal RNA
Source: RNAcentral